Molecule: microRNA precursor, 52 nt
Filed under: Loxodonta africana (African savanna elephant)
Lineage: Eukaryota; Metazoa; Chordata; Mammalia; Proboscidea; Elephantidae
Description: mir-1302 microRNA precursor family
Rfam family: mir-1302 microRNA precursor family
Source: Rfam by way of RNAcentral
UUUUUAACAUAAAUAUAUCCCAUACAUUAUUUGGGACAUACUUACAUUAAAA